UCGCAUUGAUUGUGCCAGUCAAACUACACACCAGUCAACUGCCUGCACGGCAGUGCAAUUGGGCCAAAGUUGAAAUUAUCUUGCCAUAUCAUCAACUGCAAGUGUCACACCACUCUCUAGAGGGGAAUAUCAAUGUCGUGAAGUUGCUAAAACAGGAGAUCACCUGUAUACACACAGAGGCCAAAACUGGAGAGAACACCCAUUUAACUUGUGAAAGGCCACUUCUUCCCGUAAAACAUAAGAGUAUAAG
This 250-nucleotide long non-coding RNA is filed under the name Capsicum annuum. RNAcentral's name for it is "long non-coding RNA (CANN_LNC007809)". The record is from RNAcentral. Lineage: Eukaryota; Viridiplantae; Streptophyta; Magnoliopsida; Solanales; Solanaceae.